AGGGUUUCAUCAAGCAAGGGAUUCACGCUCCUAAUAUCUGAGAGAUGCUGAAGGAGCAGGAGAGGCAGCGUGGCUUCUGGAAAAGCAGUGGACUGUCGACUCUGCAGGCAAACGUCUUCUGAAAAUCAUCCUGUAGUUUUUACAUGUCCUUUUCCUGUCUCAGGCCCCCAUCUAGGCUACUGGAUGCACCUUCUGCUUGUAGCACCACACUCAAAGAUGACCUUAGAACCUGUGCCUUCUGGCAUCAAGUCCACAGCAAAGGACAGGACUUUCUCAGGUAGAGUCAUGAAACCCGAAUCCAAGGCCGAACCUUGUGGUCUCUCUCCAGCACCACAGAGCACCUUUUCAGUAGCAAGAGUCUUCCAGGCCCUGUGCCGAAGCUCACGAAGCUGCUGACCGUGUGGCAAUGGACAACCCUUUGAAAGUCUGCCCUUCAGCUGGCGCUUUGUACUCUGGGCUGGAGGACCCGGACAGCACACCCCACCCUCACCUGAAGCACGCAGAGGUACAGAGGGGGAUGUCUUGCUUGUGCUUCUAAACAUGGAAAUUCCACCAAGAACUUAAGGACAAGAACCUAUUACUUGAUGAAAUCAGGCCACUCUACAGAGUUGCAUACAAACCUGAUUGUGUUCAGAGAGAAAGGAGAUAGGCAGCUUCUGUCAAAUUGGAUUUAAAAUGUAUUAAAGGCUCUGAAUGUUUGAGGGAACCCUAGGGUGAUGCUGAGUGGGAAUCUUACAGAGAGAAAAAAAUGCAUGCUUGAAAAUUCUGCUUCGUUCACACAUCCAUUCACUUCAUCAUAAAGCAAACCCAUUGUGUGCUCAGCAGUGCUUCAGUGCUGAGUGAUAUGAAGACAAGUAAUAGGCAAGACUCUGCUUGUGUGUGUGUGUGUGUGUGUGUGUGUGUGUGUGUGUAGCUGGGUAUCCAACUCAAAGCCUUCUGCAUGACAAGUGGAAUUUUCUCCAUUCCAGGCACAGAGAUAAAGAGACAGCCCCCUGCUGUGCUUUUUGAAGGUAGGGAAUGUGCUGAGAAGUAGACAAGACCCCUCCUGGAGUACCUGCAAUUAGAUCAGGCAUCUGUGUGCAUGAGAACAUACAAGGGCCACCCUGCCCCAAUAUGGCAAUAAUAGUUUCCUCACCUUUCCAGGUCGGUUGCUGAGACCUACCUGAGCUGUGUCCCUCUUGCUCAGUUGGCAUUCCUCCCUCCCUGACCCUUCAUAGUAACAAUAGCAGGAGAGGUUCACAGGGAAGGCUCUGGUGGAAGAGUUGGGGGACCACUUUGGUAUUAUGGGAUGGACAGUUAUUCCAAGCACACAGAGCAGGAAAAGCUAGCCUCCUCUCACUCCCCAGAAGUGGCAAGCCUUUCCUGUCCUCAUCUUCUUCUUCUGCCUUUCUUCCUGCUGCCUCCAACGUGUGGCUUCAGGAAAACCAAGUAUCUCUGAGGCCAAUUGUCCACAGCCAUGGAGAAAGCAUGUAAAGUGGCAUUUUCUCUGAAUUACAGCUGGUGCAGGAGAAACGGCUGCUUUACAUAUGUCAGCUUCACGAUGCCUGGGGAAGUGGCUGUGCUGAGCUGUAACAACAGCGCUCCAUGCCACCAGGCAGCAAAUGGAUUUUGGUUCUGCUUUAAUUUCUAGCAAACGGCCAUGCCUACACCACAUCCAUCAGCAGGAGCCGAUUCCACUGUUGAAUUAACAGCCUUGUUUAAUGGCCGCCUCGCUGCUCAUCACACCUCUGUUUGAUUAAAUUGUUAUA
Molecule: long non-coding RNA, 1748 nt
Organism: Mus musculus (house mouse)
Lineage: Eukaryota; Metazoa; Chordata; Mammalia; Rodentia; Muridae
Product: predicted gene, 34837
Exons: 5
Source: RefSeq, a predicted model, not a curated record